UACGGGGGGGGCAAGCGUUGUUCGGAAUUACUGGGCGUAAAGGGCUCGUAGGUGGCCAACUAAGUCAUGCGUGAAAUCCCUCGGCUUAACCGGGGAACUGCGUCUGAUACUGGAUGGCUUGAGUUUGGGAGAGGGAUGCGGAAUUCCAGGUGUAGCGGUGAAAUGCGUAGAUAUUAGGAGGAACACCGGUGGCGAAGGCGGCUACCUGGACCGAUAUUGACGCUGAGACGCGAAAGCGUGGGUAGCAAACAGG
This 253-nucleotide ribosomal RNA is filed under the name uncultured bacterium. RNAcentral's name for it is "partial 16S ribosomal RNA". It matches the Rfam family "Bacterial small subunit ribosomal RNA", at positions 524 to 776 of the family's 1533-position model. The record is from RNAcentral.